Long non-coding RNA from Piliocolobus tephrosceles (Ugandan red Colobus), 2526 nucleotides. The record is from Ensembl. Lineage: Eukaryota; Metazoa; Chordata; Mammalia; Primates; Cercopithecidae.
UGUUUAUCAGUACCAUUUUGUUUAUCAGUACCACUUUGUUUAUCAGUACCACUUUGUUUAUCAGUACCACUUUGUUUAUUUUUGUCACUCUGUUUAUUGUCACUACUUUGCUCACUACCCUUGAUAUUAAUGUUACUGCUACUAUGUGAUCUUGCGACGUUGUCAUGAUUUAUUUGUAUUUCUGGAUUUCUAUUACUAUUUAUAUUUAUAUUAUUUUUCUGUGUAACAUUUUUGAGUUGUUCAUAAUAUAAUGUAUUUUUUUUUAUUUCAUCUGUUGUUAUUUUUGUCUCGUUUUCUUUAUAUUUCAUUGUUAUAUCUUCAUUAUUUAUUUUAGAUAAAUCGUGGUAAAAUAAAUUAGUUGGGAAUGUUUUUAUUAUUGUAUUAUAUAUGGCUUUUUUUUCUUCGUCAUUUUCGUAUACUAUACUAUCUCCUUGUAUGUUUUUUAAAUUGUUGCAUGUACUAUUAUGUUUGUUAACUGUGUAAUUUUCUUCACUAACUAUGUAGUUAUGUUUGUUAACUGUUUGGUUUUCUUUGUUACCUGUUUGAUUUUGUUUGUUUUGUAACGGAAUAGAGUAAUCAUUGUUUACCCAUUGAUUCACUCGAUGUGCAUCGGUAAAAUAACCUAAACUUUUUGACCUGUUAUAAUUAUUACUGUUACUUAUUUCCUUUUUUUUAUUUUUAAAAUAUAGGUUCAUUGAUUUAUUUUGUUUUAAAACUUUAUCAAAUUUUUUCUCACCACAAAAACUAUUAUUUUUUACAUAAGAACAUAUUUUAGAAAAAAUACUACUAUUUUGGCGUUUUUCUUUUAUGUGUUUUGUAUUAUCUUUUUUUUUAGAAGAAAGUUUAUUUAAAGGCCAACAUAAUGAGCUCUGUAAGUUUUGAUUUUCUGUUUUUAAAAUUCCCCUUCUAGUCUUUUGUGGAAUAGUUGUAUUAUAUGCACCUCCAAUUGGAUUACUCAGGGAAAUAUAAAUAGGAUCACCGACAUGUCGACUCAUGGCAGAAUUAUCAUUGUUCAAACUAUUGUUCAAACUAUUGUUUAAACUGUUGUUUUUCAAACUAUUAUUCAAACUGUUGUUGUUCAAACUAUUGUUUAAACUGUUGUUUUUCAAACUAUUAUUCAAACUGUUGUUGUUCAAACUAUUGUUUAAACUGUUGUUUUUCAAACUAUUAUUCAAACUGUUGUUGUUCAAACUAUUAUUCAAACUNNNNNNNNNNUUCAAACUAUUAUUCAAACUGUUGUUGUUCAAACUAUUAUUCAAACUGUUGUUGUUCAAACUAUUGUUCAAACUGUUGUUGUUCAUGUUUUUAUUAAGACUAAUGUUAAUACUACUAUUAUAAGAAGACCGAUUAAGAACAUUAUCUCUAUUACUAUAUCCAUUAGCUACACUAUCAGUAGCAAUAUUAUAACAAUCCAUGUUAAGUCGAUAAGAAUCUAAAGGAUUAAAAAAUUUAUUAUCGGAUUUAGUAUAAUAACAAGAUAAAGAUAAACGAGGAUUCUUCGAUAUAGACUUUUCACUUUUUGUAAACUCGUCUAAUUUUGAAUUAGAUGAUAAAACAGAUGGAAUUGUUUUAUUUUUAUUUGAUUGAUAAUUUGAACUAAAAUUUUUUUUAUCAUUAUUUUUAUUAUUAACAUAAGAAUUAUUUAUUAUAUUAUAUGAUUUAUUUUGUGGUAAAGAAUAUGAUGACUUUAUAUUAUUAGGAAUAUUUAAAUUAUAUGACAUGUUCAUAUUUUUUAUUUCAUUUGUAUUAGUUUUAUUAUUUAUUGUUGUCAUACUUCUAUAAAUACCUUUUUUAUCAGAUUUGGUAUUAUUUACACGAUUAUAAAAAAUAUUAGAAUUGUUGUUUGUCGGCCUGAGCUGCAUUAAUUUAUUUGUAGUUUUACACAUAGAUGCAACUUUCAAUUUAUAUAAACAAUUAUUAUUGUUUACUUUUGCAUUAUUAUUGUUUACCUUUGCAUUAUUAUUGUUUACUUUUGCAUUAUUAUUGUUUACUUUUGCAUUAUUAUUGUUAUUUUCAUCAGUAAUCCUAAUUGUAUAAUUACUAGGAUAUGUACCAUUAUUAUUAUUAUUACUAGUAGUAGUUAUAUAUUUUAACAUGUUAUUAUCCGUUUCGUUAUUUUUUUUUUUUAAUACAGUUGGAUUGUUACUGUAGUAGUCAUAAUAGUUAUAUUUAUUUAUUACAUCAUUUGAUGUAUAUGGAUUAACUGUUUUAUAAUUAUUAUUUACCCCAUCGUUGGUGUUUACCUUAUUAUUAAUGUUUGUCUCAUUAUUAAUGUUUGCCCCAUUGUUUAUAUUUUUCCUAUAAUAUGUAUUUAUAUUACUGUAUGUAUUUUCCCUAUCAUGUGUAUAUACUGGGUUGUAUACAUUAUUUCCCAUAUCGUUCGUAUUAGUUCCAAUAUGUUUAUUAGUAUUGAUAUGUCCAUUCAUACUAGCAUACUUUGCAGUAUCAACAUACUUUGAAAUGUUAGUAUACCCAUUUUUUAUUUUACUUUUCUUUAAAAUAAAUUCAACGGGAUCAGAUGGACCA